Corapipo altera (White-ruffed manakin) is the source of this 90-nucleotide long non-coding RNA. RefSeq lists it as uncharacterized. The record is from RefSeq and is a predicted model, not a curated record. Lineage: Eukaryota; Metazoa; Chordata; Aves; Passeriformes; Pipridae. The transcript is spliced from 3 exons.
UUUUUAAGAUAAGAGUGGAUGUGGCAUUUAGUGCCAUGGUGUAGUGACCAUGGUGGUAGUGGAUCAAGGGUUGGACUUGAUGGUCUCAGA